This 833-nucleotide ribosomal RNA is filed under the name uncultured marine microorganism. RNAcentral's name for it is "bacterial SSU rRNA". It matches the Rfam family "Bacterial small subunit ribosomal RNA", at positions 669 to 1501 of the family's 1533-position model. The record is from RNAcentral.
CCCGGUGUAGCGGUGAAAUGCGUAGAUAUCGGGAAGAACACCAGUGGCGAAGGCGNUCUGCUGGGCCAUUACUGACGCUCAUGGACGAAAGCCAGGGGAGCGAAAGGGAUUAGAUACCCCUGUAGUCCUGGCCGUAAACGAUGAACACUAGGUGUCGGGGGAAUCGACCCCUUCGGUGUCGUAGCUAACGCGUUAAGUGUUCCGCCUGGGGAGUACGCACGCAAGUGUGAAACUCAAAGGAAUUGACGGGGGCCCGCACAAGCGGUGGAGUAUGUGGUUUAAUUCGAUGCAACGCGAAGAACCUUACCAGGGUUUGACAUCCUGCGAACCUCUUAGAAAUUUGAGGGUGCCUUCGGGAAUGCAGUGACAGGUGGUGCAUGGCUGUCGUCAGCUCGUGUCGUGAGAUGUUGGGUUAAGUCCCGCAACGAGCGCAACCCACGUUUUUAGUUGCCAGCAUUUAGUUGGGCACUCUAGAAAGACCGCCGGUGAUAAACCGGAGGAAGGUGUGGAUGACGUCAAGUCAUCAUGCCCCUUACACCCUGGGCUACACACGUACUACAAUGCUACGGACAAAGGGCAGCAAACUCGCGAGAGCUAGCAAAUCCCAUAAACCGUGGCUCAGUUCAGAUCGUAGGCUGCAACUCGCCUACGUGAAGUAGGAAUCGCUAGUAAUCGCAGGUCAGCAUACUGCGGUGAAUACGUUCCCGGGCCUUGUACACACCGCCCGUCACACCAUGGAAGUUGGCCAUGCCCGAAGUCGUUACUCCAACCCUUGUGGAGGAGGACGCCGAAGGUGGGGCUAAUGACUGGGGUGAAGUCGUAACAAGGUAGCC